CAGCGCCGCGGGAAUACGUAGGUGGCAAGCGUUGUCCGGAAUUAUUGGGCGUAAAGGGCUCGCAGGCGGUUUCUUAAGUCUGAUGUGAAAGCCCCCGGCUCAACCGGGGAGGGUCAUUGGAAACUGGGAAACUUGAGUGCAGAAGAGGAGAGUGGAAUUCCACGUGUAGCGGUGAAAUGCGUAGAGAUGUGGAGGAACACCUGUGGCGAAGGCGACUCUCUGGUCUGUAACUGACGCUGAGGAGCGAAAGCGUGGGGAGCGAACAGGAUUAGAUACCCGCGUAGUCCCUGUCUCUUAUACC
Molecule: ribosomal RNA, 301 nt
Filed under: uncultured bacterium
Lineage: Bacteria
Description: partial 16S ribosomal RNA
Rfam family: Bacterial small subunit ribosomal RNA
Source: RNAcentral